AUUGAACGCUGGCGGCAGGCCUAACACAUGCAAGUCGAACGAGUGGCGGACGGGUGAGUUAUGUCUGGGAAACUGCCUGAUGGUGGGGGAUAACUACUGGAAACGGUAGCUAAUACCGCAUACCAUCAGAUGUGCCCAGAUGGGCUUAGCUAGUUGGUGGGGUAACGGCUCACCAAGGCGACGAUCCCUAGCUGGUCUGAGCGGAUGACCAGCCGCACGGGAACUGAGACACGGUCCAGACUCCUACGGGAGGCAGCAGUGGGGAAUAUUGCGCAAUGGGCGCAAGCCGGAUGCAGCCAUGGCGCGUGUAUGGAGAAGGCGUUCGGGUUGUAAAGUUCUUUCAGCGGGGAGGCGUUACCCGCAGAAGAAGCACCGGCUAACUCCGUGCCAGCCGCCGCGGUAAUUC
RNAcentral lists this ribosomal RNA (406 nucleotides) under uncultured bacterium. Its description in RNAcentral is "partial 16S ribosomal RNA". It matches the Rfam family "Bacterial small subunit ribosomal RNA", at positions 30 to 526 of the family's 1533-position model. The record is from RNAcentral.